GACGAACGCUGGCGGCGUGCUUAACACAUGCCAGUCGAACGGAAAGGCCCCUUUGGGGGUACUCGAGUGGCGAACGGGUGAGUAACACGUGAGUAACCUGCCCUUGACUUCGGGAUAACUUCAGGAAACUGGGGCUAAUACCGGAUAGGAAUCCUUGCUGCAUGGUGGGGGUUGGAAAGCUUCGGCGGUUUUGGAUGGACUCGCGGCUUAUCAGCUUGUUGGUGGGGUAGUGGCUUACCAAGGCUUUGACGGGUAGCCGGCCUGAGAGGGCGACCGGCCACAUUGGGACUGAGAGACGGCCCAGACUCCUACGGGAGGCAGCAGUGGGGAAUAUUGCACAAGGGGCGGAAGCCUGAUGCAGCAACGCCGCGUGCGGGAUGACGGCCUUCGGGUUGUAAACCGCUUUCAGCAGGGGCGAAGCUUGUGGUGACGGUACCUGCAGAAGAAGCACCGGCUAACUACGUG
Molecule: ribosomal RNA, 465 nt
Filed under: uncultured bacterium
Lineage: Bacteria
Description: partial 16S ribosomal RNA
Rfam family: Bacterial small subunit ribosomal RNA
Source: RNAcentral